UUCCUUGUAUCAUGUUGACUUACUCCUUGAUCAAUAGGGAUGUGGAUACAAAAUUCCAUUUUCCACUACUUAUAUUAUCCUCAUUGGACCUUAAGCUAUAAUCAUCGGUUGUUGUUGUGUGUCUGCCUGCCUGGCAAUGUUUCACCUCUAUUUUUGACCUACUGUUGACUUAUUUGGAACCUGAGAAAGAAUUAUUUUACAUGUUAGAGUACUCUCAUAUGUUCGAAGUCAUAAAACCAGCUGAGAUAAUGAAAUAAUGCCAGGUAAUUACUCGUGGUUUCAAGGUUGCGCAAAGGAGAGGAGGCAUGGUUAUAGGUCCUCGACAACAUCUGCGCCUCAUAGGUCAGCCAUGAUUCUCGGAUUUUUUUGUUCUGCUGUUAUUCCCAAAGAAACAUCGUAGUUCUUUUGGAUGGUGAAAGAUUAUUCAGUUACUGAAAUACUUCUUAUCCAAAGAGCUGGGAAUAUUUAAAACAUCUAAAUUGCUUAUCUCAACACUAUAAUAGAAAGUACUAUCUCGAAAAUAAUAACAAAACACCGUGAUAAACUGGGCACCGAAGCCAUAUUGACACAGACCCAUGAUCAAUGAUAUGUGAGCCAAGUCUUCCCGUGAACUUACAGCCACCCAUUGAGUGCAUGAUUUCUUCCAUCUCCUUUUCUUUUGUUUUCCAGGGCAGAUAUUCCACUGUGCAUCGUAUUUGACCAUACUUAACCAAGUUGAUUCAUAUCAAUUAGUAUCUUUUGGUUUUCUUCCAGUUUAUUAGGCAUGGACCCAGCCACAAAUUCUGAAGCUUCAAUAAUUUGGGUGGUCUAAUAGUUCCUGUAUAGCUUGAUGUCAUAUCAGGUGUAAUAUUUUGUUGUUGCUUGAUGUUGCAUCAAGACAAGCUAGGGUCAACAAGGAACAAAGGGGUUGACACAUGGAGAAGCGGGAGCAUAAAAUUCAAAAGGUACUGAACAUGUGUAUGGAUUACACCGGUGAGUGAAUGGUGUGGCACAUUGAGUCAGAGAGGAGUAGUUGCUUGUCUGGUAUGAAAAACAGUUGUUUCUCGAUUAGAUUAAGGCCAAACUUAUCUUCAACAUGUGUGGUCUUUCAUCACCAUUUUAAAAGAGGUUCAAUGCAAAAUCCUAAGACUGCCAAUUUUUACUAUAUUGGAAGUACUUUAUCGAUACGUUUGGAACAAUUCUCAGAUUCCAUGAAACAUAUUCGUGGCACCAAUUUUAACUAAAGAAUAAAUCAAUC
RNAcentral lists this long non-coding RNA (1237 nucleotides) under Triticum aestivum (bread wheat). RNAcentral describes it as "long non-coding RNA (TAES_LNC026037)". The record is from RNAcentral. Lineage: Eukaryota; Viridiplantae; Streptophyta; Magnoliopsida; Poales; Poaceae.